Callithrix jacchus (white-tufted-ear marmoset) is the source of this 286-nucleotide unclassified non-coding RNA. It matches the Rfam family "Metazoan signal recognition particle RNA". From Rfam's summary of the family: The signal recognition particle (SRP) is a universally conserved ribonucleoprotein. It is involved in the co-translational targeting of proteins to membranes. NCBI's taxonomy places the organism in Eukaryota, Metazoa, Chordata, Mammalia, Primates, Cebidae. The record is from Ensembl.
GCCUGGUGCAGUGUCACAUGCCUAUAGUUCCAGCUGCUUGGGAGGCUGAGUUGGGAGGAUAGCUUGAGCCCAGGAGUUCUAGGCUAUAAUGUGCUAUGUCGAUCAGGUGUCCACACUAAGUUUGGCAUGUCAAUAUGGUGACCUCCCAGGAGCGGGGGGCCACCAGGUUGCCUAAGGAGGGCUGAACCGGCCCAGGUCAGCACUCCUGUGCUGAUCAGUAGUGGGACUGCUCCUGUGAAUAGCCACUGCACUCCAGUCUGGGCAACAUAGAGAGACCCUGUCUCUA